ACUUAAAUAAGCUUAAUUUGAAAAGUUAUAUCAAAUGGAGCCUAACUAAUCAUAAUUCUAUCUAAUAAAAGAUCAUUGCAUCUAUUACCAUAAUUUACCUAACAUUAAUUUUAAUUAACAAUACCUUUAUUAGUGAGAGAAUGAUAGAAUAUGUGCGUAAUUCUUUCUUUACUUAUUUCUGAAAAUACAGGUUUGUUUUGAUUUAAAAAUUAAAUAAAACCUAGAUAAUGAUUAAUGACUCUUUACUAUCAAAUAAUGUGCUUAUAUUGUGAUUCUUAUUCUGGAUAAGUAGUUUAUUUUAACGACCAAGGAUUAAAGGAGAUGGAUAUGCUUAUUAUGUGGUCUAUUAGUGAUAAUUAGUUUGAUUCACCAAUUAAAGAUUAUCUCUUUAUUCUUCAAUCUUUAGCUCCAAUUAUUGGGUUCCUUCUUAUCUGUUUCUUUACCUCGAUUUAUCUAUUUCAACUAAAUUUAUUCUCUGUAAUAUGACUCUGCAUGUGUUUCUUAUUUAUGAAUUAUUUAUUCGAUAAAUUAUUUCAUGGUAUUGUUGCUAGGUUGGCCUAACAUGGGAAAAAAGAGAAGUUAAAAGCCAGCAAUUUGCAUUAUGUGGUUGAAGAUUGUGAAGUAUUAAUAUUUUUCUGUAGUUGUUUUUUAAAAUUAGUGUGAUCUCCAUUUAUGUAUUGUAAUCUUUUUAUUUUUUUCAAUGUAUUAAAUCAUUUAGUAUUCGAACAUCAUAUUGGACCCCGAUUAAUCCUGAUUUGAGCCGAAUAAGACCACUGGGGCUCGAUUAAUCUAGAUUCGAGCCGAGUAGGACCACUAGAACGUCAAAGCUCUCCCAACAAAUAUUUAACGUAAUUGCAUUCUUAAGUUUCAAACCGAGAACCUUGGUUAAGUUAGAAUGUAUUCCCAAUAUUUAACGCAACUGCAUUCCCAAAUCUCGAACAAAGAUUGAUUAAGUUAUAACAUCUCUAUACCAGCUGAUCUACGCACUUGUUGGUAUAAAUGAAUGCUUUACUUUAGUUAUAAAUAAAAUAAAAUAAAAUAAUCGUCUUAAUAAAUAAUACCAAAUGUAAACCCUAGCUUCACCAACCAAAACGGAUGAAAAAUAAUAACAAACCUUCGGUUUCGGCUGAUGGUAAAAUUACAGAAGCAAAUCCGAACCAAAAACUUAGGUUAGGGCUCCAAAAUCAUGCAAGGAAAUUCGUUUCAUAUCUUUCAUCGAAGAAUAAAUUAAAUAAUUCAGACAAACAAGAUAUUAAAAUAUAUAGAAACUAUCUCUCUCUCUCUCUCUCUCUCUCUCAGCAUUUUUAGUAAGCUCCGCUUUGCUUUUAUUAAAUUACACAUCAAUUAAUUAAUGAAUUGCCUUCAUAUUAUUCAAGAAACAAAAGCAAUGAGAACAAGAAAUAUGUUGGCCCCGCGUUAUAUUUUAACACAAGCUUUAAUCAUUAUUUAACUCAUGUUACUAAGUGCAAGGAACAAUAUUAAUGGAAUAAAAUAAUUAAGGUGCAAUUGAUUAGUGUUAAUUUAGUCUUAGUUGCGUGUUAUGCGUGACGAGUAAGCAAAAACGAAGUUGAAUAGAAUUACUUAAUAAUUAGGAAGCGACAAUUAAGUUUUAUUAGUUGGAGGACGUUGGUUGCGAAUUGUGAAUCUAAUUGAUAUGGAUUAUUUAAUCAUGUAUCAGGGGAAUUAAUUUAAUUAAAAGUGUCGUAUUAGCCAUUUGAAAGACACGAAAUCUUUCGAAUCUCCAAGGCUGGCCGCCGGUGGGGUUCCAAGGGAAAUAAACAAUUAAUAAAGAAGCCUUGGAAGAGUGUGCAUGCCUGCUUUCUUUUUUAAGUAUUUUUAGAAAACAAAUAAAUCUAGGGCAACAGAAACAAUUCAAACGAGGAUGACCUGUUAUAUUUCUCCUUAUGUGUAAAAAUGAAGCACUUAUUUUCAAAAUGGGUAUUGAAUCAAACAAUGGCAAUGGCAUGCCCUUCAGGAGAUAUUGGAUAAGCCAUUAGAGGCAGUAGAUUCUUUGCAUGAAAAUAGAAAUGGGAAACAACUAAUGUUGGGAUUUCAAUUUGGUGUUUGCCCUUGAAAAGUCAUUAAUUACAUGCAAAAGUGAUAAUUAGCUAUACCAUAUUGCUUUUAUCAAUCAAUUAUAUAAGCUAACUAGGUCUAAUUUGGUGAGUGUUCAUGUGAAGAAACAGUUCGUAAAGUUGGUGGCCCUUUACCCUUUCACAAAUCAAAACUCCACAGGACAAAUUUUAAUUAUUAGGUGUUCCCUGGUUGAAUAUCAGCACAUUAGAAUUUUUGGAUCUAACGCCUUUCAAUGCCAUAAAUAGAGCUAGCGUCUCAUCUAAAGCUUUGUUUGGACCAUGUGCAUUAACAUGUGACCAUUGACGAUUCUAAAGAAAUUAAGUAACAGCUGAAUAACUAUUCUCAAUCAAAAUCAAAGAUUACAAAAAAGUCUAUUUAUGGCUCCUGAAUAAACGGUUUGGGUACUUAUAUUUUCUUCUUACUUCAUUUCUUAUUUGGAUAUCUUAUGGUGUAAGAAGACACAACCAUGCACAUUGACUCUUCUUGCAAUCAAGAAUCAACCAGAGACUUUUUAUUUGACAAGCAAAAAUCAAAUGCGGCUUCUCGCAGCGGAUUAACAAAAUCUUAGUUAUAAUAUUUUCUUUAAAACAAAAUUAUUUAACUUCUUUUGCGAGAGGGUAAAAGCUUGUUUAGUCCCCAUAUUAUAAGGUUAGUGUUCAUUUAGUCCCUGUAUUUUUAAAAACACCUCAAAACGUCCCUACUACUAAAUAUUGACACUUAUGCCAUUAUUAUUUUUUUAUUUUUAACUUGUUUUUACAAUAUUACAUUUUUACAAUAAUGUUUCUUUUUUGGAUAUUAAUAAAAAAUUAAAUUAUCAAAUUAAACUAAAAAAUAAAAUAAAAACAAAAAAGGUAUAUAUUAAUUUUUGUGGAAGCUCACGUAUGUCUAAAAAAUUAAUAUCGUAAAAAAUUACAUUAUCAAUUUUUUUAGAAAAAUUAAUAUUUUAACUCAAGAGUGUGUUCCACAAAAAUUAAUCUAUAUAUAUAUAUAUAUAUAUAUAUAUAUUUUUGGUGUUAAACUAGUAAUUUAUUUUUUUCUUUUUAAUAAUGUCUAAAAAAAUUAUUAUAAUAGGGUUAUUUUUUUCUUUUUAAUAAUGUCUAAAAAAUUAUUAUAAUAGGGCAAUAUUAUAAAAAUAAGUUAAAAGGAACAAAAGAUAAUGACAAAAGUGUCAAUAAUUUAAUGGUAGGGAUGGUUUGAGGUAUUUAAAAAAAUAUAGGGACUGAACGAGCUUUUACCCUUUGCGAGAUCCAAAAAUUGGAAGUUGCCUCAUGUGUGUCGAGGUAGUAAGUGGUCAUGAUCCAAUGAAUUUGCGCCGUGUAAAAUUAAAAUACGAAUCCUAAGCUUAAACCGAACCGACUUUCGGCCAAAAAAAAAAAAAUUAAUACUUAAAACCAAAAUUGGCCAUAAAUUAUAAUUAUAUUCAACACUUGGAUCGUGGUAAUAUAUAUAUAAUUGAAAUGAGCUUUUAGUUAGUUUAUUAAAAGAAAGAGAGAGGGGGGCAAAAUUUCAUAGAAGAAAAGGGCAACUUUGGCCGUUUGAUUAGUUAAGAAGUUGCUAACCUUUACAACCUUGAGAGAUUCCAAGGGUCAAUUGACCAAGAGUUUAGAGGUAGAGCCAUGCCCAUGCUACACCAAUAUUUUUUUUUAUUUGGUUGUUUAAUUUUGGAAACGCACUCACCAUUUAAGUAGUUGUUGCCAAUAUAUGUUUCUUUAUUAUCUAAUAAAUUUUCAUUUGAAACAAAAUUAAACAAAAAGAUACUUUAGGAAAACAAAAGGCAAAAGAAAAGAGAGCAUUGUCACUUUUUAAGUCUUUAGUGGGAUUAUUGCAUGAAUCACGAUUUCACGAGUUGUUUUGUAAGUAUAGAUAGGCAUAUGAUUCCUAUUUAGAACAAUAAAGUUGCAAUUGAAAAUGAAUUUUUUUGGCACGUGGAAGGCCUACACACACUUUAGUAAGAACACGAAAAGACUUUUAUCGGUAAAGAUGUUUUUUUUUUAUGGCUAUGGUUAUUUUGGUGCUGAUAUGGAGCACGAAUUUAUGUCAGACACACGCAAAAUGAUAAAUAAUAAAAAACACAUUAUAAUUUUGAUUGUAUACUUAUGAAUGAAUACUCUACCUCAGAGUAGUUUCAACAUAACCAGACCCCUUUUUUAUUUCUUACUUUAUAGAUGAUUUUCUUCUUUAAUUUUCACUUUUUCUAUAACACAAGAGAUUUUGUUUUUAUUUGACAUUCAAACAUGAUUUCUAAGGCUAUGGUAUCCCACAAAUUGGAUAUUGUCAUAUGAUAACAAAUUUAAUAGAAAUUAAUAAAAUACGACUAUUUAACGGUGUUUCAACUAUGAGAUAUAGUACUCCAUAAAUUCCACAGUAAAAACUUUACCACAAAUUUAAAACCAAUAAUUUAUAAUUUAAUUUAAUUUAUUUUUCUUAAACAUGAUACAUGUUGAUAAUAUUAUUGGGUGCUAGUUCAUGAACUUAAACUUUUAGAUUAUAACUAAGAUUAGUUUGCAUUAAUCUUAUGAAGAAGUCAAAAUAUAUUUGUUUUGAGAUGUGUGAAGAGUAAAUGUUCUCCCAUUAGGUCAAAAAUUAGAUAACAACAAGAGCUUUCAUUAAGCUUCUCUUUUCUUCAAUAAAAAUCCGUGCAAAAAUAGUUUUAAUUCUUGGGAGUGAGCUUAUAAAUAGUAGGGAAGCUUCUUCAUCAAAAUUUCCAGAUGCAUAUACCAUGAAAAAGAACCGAAGAAGUACACAUUCUUGACAAAGCAAAAAAUAUUUGUGCUAAUUUUGUUGCCGGGAGUGGGAUAGAUGGUGUGGGUGUUGGCUAUUUUUAAAUUAAGAAGUGGUAGGUUUUGUUAUAAGUAGUUGAUGAACCAUCGCUGCUGCUUCUGGGUAGCUCAAAAAAAGAUUCUAAGUGAAGUUUCAUUGGUUUACUUUCACUAAGAAAACAAAACAGUGAACAAUUUCUACUUCAUUUUCAUUCAUUAUCAUGAUGUAAACUACUACUCACACCAACUCAACAAGCACUGUUGAAAAUGACUACUAUGCAUCGGCUGUAUGGUUCAGCCCUCACAAAUAGUCACAAUCUCCCUUGAAAAGUUCAGACUUUCGGCUACCCUCUUCAAAUUUCAUUCGUGACCCUCCACUUAUAAUAUAUUUUUGUAUAUUGCGCGAAAACUUAAGAUGUCAGCAAUGGAAUACUUCAAAUUUUCAACGGAGAGAGCAAGGAGUAGUUGACGUGUGAGCACAACUGGUGUUCUGUAGUUGUUGUAGGCACACACCUUGAAUGGUAACUUUCUUCCAAGCUAUUAAUUCAAAAAGCAAUCUUGUAAAAGUAGGGCAUUGGCGUUGAGGAAUGGCUCGUGUAUCACGACUGUGAUGGUGAUCUUUGAAUAUAUUCAUUUUCAAGAUUGUGGACUUCAGAUUUUCUUUAACACACCAACCUUCGUUGGCAUUAAAAAAAAAUGUGUAUGUUGGUUUGGUGAGAUAUGUUGGAUUAAUUAUCAUUAAUUGACUGAUCAAUAAUUUGUGAAUGCUCACAAUUUUCUUUUUCUCAUUCUUUUGCUUCAGCUUUUAAUAAGCUACAGCCUACAAGGACAGAAAUUAUUAAACACUGUCACCUCAGACUUGGCCCAUAGCUUCAGCCUCCAUGCAUUAUUCAGAGAUGCAGACAGAUCUUUUGUCUUGACAUUGAUUUGCUUGUUUGUUGAUUUAAUUUCUGAUAUUUCAAUCAAAGUUUCGUCGGCUUGGGAAACAAGUUUUGGUAGUUGAAGGACAUUUCUCUACUUGGGGGUAGGUAGGUAACUAAAA
RNAcentral lists this long non-coding RNA (5877 nucleotides) under Citrus x clementina. RNAcentral's name for it is "Citrus clementina (C. clementina) long non-coding RNA (CCLE_LNC000631)". The record is from RNAcentral. Lineage: Eukaryota; Viridiplantae; Streptophyta; Magnoliopsida; Sapindales; Rutaceae.